This 182-nucleotide small nuclear RNA is filed under the name Verticillium alfalfae VaMs.102. RNAcentral's name for it is "Verticillium albo-atrum VaMs.102 U2 spliceosomal RNA". It matches the Rfam family "U2 spliceosomal RNA". From Rfam's summary of the family: U2 is a small nuclear RNA (snRNA) component of the spliceosome (involved in pre-mRNA splicing). Complementary binding between U2 snRNA (in an area lying towards the 5' end but 3' to hairpin I) and the branchpoint sequence (BPS) of the intron results the bulging out of an unpaired adenosine, on the BPS, which initiates a nucleophilic attack at the intronic 5' splice site, thus starting the first of two transesterification reactions that mediate splicing. The record is from Rfam by way of RNAcentral. Lineage: Eukaryota; Fungi; Ascomycota; Sordariomycetes; Glomerellales; Plectosphaerellaceae.
ACAGUUCUCGAUAGGUCAUUGCGUAGUAUCUGUUCUUCUCAGCUUGACCGCUGGGAGCCUUCCUUAGAAAGGCAAUUUCGUUCGCUAUUUUUUGAAUUCCUGGUGGGUUUCCUCUGUGCAUGCAUAUGACACCCUCCACUGCGUCCCUGGUAUUUCACUGCCUCCAGGUGAUGCGAAAGAAG